UCAGUACCGUGAGGGAAAGGCGAAAAGAACCCCGGGAGGGGAGUGAAAUAGAUCCUGAAACCGCAUGCUUACAAAAAGUCGGAGCCCUUUGGGGUGACGGCGUACCUUUUGUAUAAUGGGUCAGCGACUUACUGUUCGUGGCAAGCUUAACCGUAUAGGGGAGGCGAAGGGAAACCGAGUCUGAUAAGGGCGCAUAGUCGCGGGCAGUAGACCCGAAACCGGGUGAUCUAGUCAUGGCCAGGGUGAAGGUGCCGUAACAGGUACUGGAGGCCCGAACCCACGUCUGUUGCAAAAGACGGGGAUGAGCUGUGAUUAGGAGUGAAAAGCUAAUCGAACCCGGAGAUAGCUGGUUCUCCUCGAAAGCUAUUUAGGUAGCGCCUCGGACGAAUACUACUGGGGGUAGAGCACUGUUAUGGCUAGGGGGUCAUCGCGACUUACCAAACCAUUGCAAACUCCGAAUACCAGUACGUACUAUCCGGGAGACACACGGCGGGUGCUAACGUCCGUCGUGAAAAGGGAAACAACCCAGACCCACAGCUAAGGUCCCAAAUUCACUGCUAAGUGGAAAACGAUGUGGAAAGGCAUAGACAGCCAGGAGGUUGGCUUAGAAGCAGCCACCCUUUAAAGAAAGCGUAAUAGCUCACUAGUCGAGUCGGCCUGCGCGGAAGAUGUAACGGGGCUAAGCCAGUCACCGAAGCUGCGGAUAUGUCUUUGACAUAUGGUAGGAGAGCGUUCUGUAAGCCUGCGAAGGUGUCUUGUAAAGGAUGCUGGAGGUAUCAGAAGUGCGAAUGCUGACAUGAGUAGCGUUAAAGGGGGUGAAAAGCCCCCUCGCCGUAAGCGCAAGGUUUCCUACGCAACGUUCAUCGGCGUAGGGUGAGUCGGCCCCUAAGGCGAGGCAGAGAUGCGUAGCUGAUGGGAAACAGGUCAAUAUUCCUGUACCGAUCAAUAGUGCGAUGUGGGGACGGAGAAGGUUAGCUCAGCCAACUGUUGGAUAUGUUGGUUCAAGCCUGUAGUCGUGCCUGGUAGGCAAAUCCGCCGGGCUUAGAUGAGGGGUGAUAACGAGUCUGCUUGCAGACGAAGUGAGUGAUACCCUGCUUCCAGGAAAAGCCACUAAGCUUCAGCUUGCAGCUGACCGUACCGCAAACCGACACUGGUGCGCGAGAUGAGUAU
RNAcentral lists this ribosomal RNA (1170 nucleotides) under Aurantiochytrium limacinum. Its description in RNAcentral is "partial Bacterial large subunit ribosomal RNA". It matches the Rfam family "Bacterial large subunit ribosomal RNA", at positions 495 to 1679 of the family's 2925-position model. Lineage: Eukaryota; Bigyra; Thraustochytrida; Thraustochytriidae. The record is from RNAcentral.